CUCUCCGGCCGCCAUGGCGGCCGCGGGAAUUCGAUUGGAAACAGGUGCUAAUACCGUAUAAAACUUAGUAUCGCAUGAUAUCAAGUUGAAAGGCGCUACGGCGUCACCUAGAGAUGGAUCCGCGGUGCAUUAGUUAGUUGGUGGGGUAAAGGCUUACCAAGACGAUGAUGCAUAGCCGAGUUGAGAGACUGAUCGGCCACAUUGGGACUGAGACACGGCCCAAACUCCUACGGGAGGCUGCAGUAGGGAAUCUUCCACAAUGGGCGCAAGCCUGAUGGAGCAACGCCGCGUGUGUGAUGAAGGCUUUCGGGUCGUAAAGCACUGUUGUAUGGGAAGAAAUGCUAAAAUAGGGAAUGAUUUUAGUUUGACGGUACCAUACCAGAAAGGGACGGCUAAAUACGUGCCAGCAGCCGCGGUAAUACGAUAAUCACUAGUGAAUUCGCGGCCGCCUGCAGGUCGACCAUAUGGGAGAGCUCCCAACGCGU
RNAcentral lists this ribosomal RNA (485 nucleotides) under Leuconostoc citreum. RNAcentral's name for it is "bacterial SSU rRNA". The stretch from base 1 to 436 matches the Rfam family "Bacterial small subunit ribosomal RNA", at positions 114 to 540 of the family's 1533-position model. The record is from RNAcentral. Lineage: Bacteria; Bacillati; Bacillota; Bacilli; Lactobacillales; Lactobacillaceae.